GAUGAACGCUGGCGGCGUGCCUAAUACAUGCAAGUCGAGCGAACAGACGAGGAGCUUGCUCCUCUGACGUUAGCGGCGGACGGGUGAGUAACACGUGGAUAACCUACCUAUAAGACUGGGAUAACUUCGGGAAACCGGAGCUAAUACCGGAUAAUAUAUCGAACCGCAUGGUUCAAUAGUGAAAGACGGUUUUGCUGUCACUUAUAGAUGGAUCCGCGCCGCAUUAGCUAGUUGGUAAGGUAACGGCUUACCAAGGCAACGAUGCGUAGCCGACCUGAGAGGGUGAUCAGCCACACUGGAACUGAGACACGGUCCAGACUCCUACGGGAGGCAGCAGUAGGGAAUCUUCCGCAAUGGGCGAAAGCCUGACGGAGCAACGCCGCGUGAGUGAUGAAGGUCUUCGGAUCGUAAAACUCUGUUAUUGGGGAAGAACAAAUGUGUAAGUAACUAUGCACGUCUUGACGGUACCUAAUCAGAAAGCCACGGCUAACUACGUG
RNAcentral lists this ribosomal RNA (497 nucleotides) under uncultured bacterium. RNAcentral's name for it is "partial 16S ribosomal RNA". It matches the Rfam family "Bacterial small subunit ribosomal RNA", at positions 28 to 507 of the family's 1533-position model. The record is from RNAcentral.